This 209-nucleotide unclassified non-coding RNA is filed under the name Hevea brasiliensis (rubber tree). Lineage: Eukaryota; Viridiplantae; Streptophyta; Magnoliopsida; Malpighiales; Euphorbiaceae. The record is from RNAcentral.
AUAGAUCACAGGCAAACUUAUAUAUUCACAAUUAUCUCAAGGUAAUGAAGCAAUUGCUAUCUAUACAUGGAUUUGUAUGCAUAGCAGAAAUCGAGCAUGUACUGAAAUCGAAACAGUAGAACAAGUACAUCAUCUGUUCUUAUCAAAUUUGGCAAUAUAAGCAAAAGAACUUAAACCUCAUAAAUCACAUAACUAAUGCCUGGGCAAUA